This 253-nucleotide ribosomal RNA is filed under the name uncultured bacterium. RNAcentral describes it as "partial 16S ribosomal RNA". It matches the Rfam family "Bacterial small subunit ribosomal RNA", at positions 524 to 776 of the family's 1533-position model. The record is from RNAcentral.
UACGAAGGGGGCUAGCGUUGUUCGGAAUCACUGGGCGUAAAGCGUACGUAGGCGGAUUGUUAAGUCAGGGGUGAAAGCCCGAGGCUCAACCUCGGAACUGCCUUUGAUACUGGCAAUCUUGAGUCCGGGAGAGGUGAGUGGAACUCCUAGUGUAGAGGUGAAAUUCGUAGAUAUUAGGAAGAACACCAGUGGCGAAGGCGGCUCACUGGCCCGGAACUGACGCUGAUGUACGAAAGCGUGGGGAGCAAACAGG